GCAAUGCCGCGUGAGUGAAGAAGGCCUUCGGGUUGUAAAGCUCUUUUGUCAGGGAAGAAACGGUGAUUUCUAAUACNGCUUGCUAAUGACGGUACCUGAAGAAUAAGCACCGGCUAACUACGUGCCAGCAGCCGCGGUAAUACGUAGGGUGCAAGCGUUAAUCGGAAUUACUGGGCGUAAAGCGUGCGCAGGCGGUUAUAUAAGUCAGAUGUGAAAUCCCUGGGCUCAACCUAGGAACUGCAUUUGAGACUGUAUGGCUAGAGUGUGUCAGAGGGGGGUAGAAUUCCACGUGUAGCAGUGAAAUGCGUAGAUAUGUGGAGGAAUACCGAUGGCGAAGGCAGCCCCCUGGGAUAACACUGACGCUCAUGCACGAAAGCGUGGGGAGCAAACAGGAUUAGAUACCCUGGUAGUCCACGCCCUAAACGAUGUCUACUAGUUGUCGGGUCUUAAUUGACUUGGUAACGCAGC
This 468-nucleotide ribosomal RNA is filed under the name Undibacterium sp. RNAcentral's name for it is "bacterial SSU rRNA". It matches the Rfam family "Bacterial small subunit ribosomal RNA", at positions 391 to 852 of the family's 1533-position model. The record is from RNAcentral. Lineage: Bacteria; Pseudomonadati; Pseudomonadota; Betaproteobacteria; Burkholderiales; Oxalobacteraceae.